Molecule: long non-coding RNA, 237 nt
Filed under: Brassica napus (rape)
Lineage: Eukaryota; Viridiplantae; Streptophyta; Magnoliopsida; Brassicales; Brassicaceae
Description: long non-coding RNA (BNAP_LNC010646)
Source: RNAcentral
AAAAGUGAAUGAUAUCUUUGUUGGAGACUCCACUCUAUAUACUAUAACCUUUUUUGUUUACUUCUCUUUUGCCCCUAAAGAAUAACUUUUAAUCUUUGUCGAGUUUAAGUCCUUUGGUUGAAACAAAAUAUCACUUAUCAUCAACAUCACCAUCAUAAGUUAUUAUUCAUAACCUGAUAACCAUCAUCAUCGAUAAUUAACUAACGUUAAUACGAUUCUCAUGUAUUUUGCGUACAU